GGUUGGGCUUUGCAUAUUAAGCUAAACUAUGCGCGACGACACAAACUUAGCUUGCUUUAAAGGAAACAACCGUUUUUUUAGUGUCUAAUGAGAGCAGGAACUCUCUUACACGUGGAUUUUUUUAAUAGUUAUGAAAGAUCUGGUUUUAGUCGCCAAAUUUAAAGUUUUUAUUAAAAAAUAAGAGAUAUUACAAUGAUUGUAGCGUUCGCUCUGUAAACACCUCCUGCGCUCUUGAAAAAGUAUAUUGGUCCUGAAAGACUAAGUGACCUGCAAGUCUCACAUAAAAGUUGUUUGUAAAAAACAUGUUGAAAUUUCUCAAUAAGCAAUCUACUAUCUCAACUGGAGUAGUCUGUUAUAAAUAUGCAUAUGGCGUUUAGUUUUUUUUAAAGUCAAGAAGUAGAAC
Zophobas morio is the source of this 403-nucleotide long non-coding RNA. RefSeq lists it as uncharacterized. Lineage: Eukaryota; Metazoa; Arthropoda; Insecta; Coleoptera; Tenebrionidae. The transcript has 3 exons. The record is from RefSeq and is a predicted model, not a curated record.